ACAAGGGAAGCAAGUUGUUGGAGAAAAUCGCUUCACCGGCUGCCCCCACCUCCCAGCUUUGGUCAGCGAGGCCGCUAUCAAAUAUGGACAUUGCCAAACCUCGUUCUAUCUCUGCGUACCAAGGAGGAUACAGGAGAGAGGAGAGAGGGGAAGGAGGUGGAAAUGCAUUAAAACAAAAAAGAGAGAAUGAAGCAGUGUAAGAAUUGGAUACCUCCUCAGGACCACAUUUUAAUGGGAAAUACAGCUUGAUGGAUAAACUUCAGGGGUUUAUGAAGAAAUGGCAGAGU
This 287-nucleotide long non-coding RNA is filed under the name Papio anubis (olive baboon). RNAcentral describes it as "lncRNA (ENSPANG00000046150.1)". The record is from RNAcentral. Lineage: Eukaryota; Metazoa; Chordata; Mammalia; Primates; Cercopithecidae.